UACGUUCCCGGGCCUUGUACACACCGCCCGUCAAGUCACGAAAGUCGGUAACACCCGAAGCCGGUGGCCCAACCCUUGUGGAGGGAGCCGUCGAAGGUGGGACUGGCGAUUGGGGCU
This 117-nucleotide ribosomal RNA is filed under the name uncultured bacterium. RNAcentral describes it as "partial 16S ribosomal RNA". It matches the Rfam family "Bacterial small subunit ribosomal RNA", at positions 1367 to 1482 of the family's 1533-position model. The record is from RNAcentral.